GACGAACGCUGGCGGCGUGCUUAACACAUGCAAGUCGAACGGAAAGGCCCUGCUUUUGUGGGGCGCUCGAGUGGCGAACGGGUGAGUAACACGUGAGUAACCUGCCCUUGACUUUGGGAUAACUUCAGGAAACUGGGGCUAAUACCGGAUAGGAGCUCCUGCUGCAUGGUGGGGGUUGGAAAGUUUCGGCGGUUGGGGAUGGACUCGCGGCUUAUCAGCUUGUUGGUGGGGUAGUGGCUUACCAAGGCUUUGACGGGUAGCCGGCCUGAGAGGGUGACCGGCCACAUGGGGACUGAGAUACGGCCCAGACUCCUACGGGAGGCAGCAGUGGGGAAUAUUGCACAAUGGGCGGAAGCCUGAUGCAGCAACGCCGCGUGCGGGAUGACGGCCUUCGGUUGUAAACCGCUUUCGCCUGUGACGAAGCGUGAGUGACGGUAAUGGGUAAAGAAGCACCGGCUAACUACGUG
RNAcentral lists this ribosomal RNA (467 nucleotides) under uncultured bacterium. RNAcentral's name for it is "partial 16S ribosomal RNA". It matches the Rfam family "Bacterial small subunit ribosomal RNA", at positions 28 to 507 of the family's 1533-position model. The record is from RNAcentral.